UACGUAGGCAGCAAGCGUUGUUCGGAGUUACUGGGCGUAAAGGGUGUGUAGGCGGUUGUUUAAGUUUGGUGUGAAAUCUCCCGGCUCAACUGGGAGGGUGCGCCGAAUACUGAAUGACUAGAGUGCGGGAGAGGAAAGUGGAAUUCCUGGUGUAGCGGUGAAAUGCGUAGAUAUCAGGAGGAACACCGGUGGUGUAGACGGCUCUCUGGACAGGUACUGACGCUGAGACGCGAAAGCGUGGGUAGCAAACAGG
Molecule: ribosomal RNA, 253 nt
Filed under: uncultured bacterium
Lineage: Bacteria
Description: partial 16S ribosomal RNA
Rfam family: Bacterial small subunit ribosomal RNA
Source: RNAcentral